UUUCCGGUUGAUCCUGCCGGACCUGACUGCUAUCGGAUUGAUACUAAGCCAUGCGAGUCUUUGCAGUAAUGCAAGGCAUACGGCUCAGUAACACGUAGUCAACCUACCCUAUGGACGAGAAUAAUCUCGGGAAACUAAGCAUAAUUCUUGAUAGAUCAUAAUGCCUGGAAUGGUUUAUGAUUAAAAUGAUUCGUCGCCAUAGGAUGGGACUGCGGCCUAUCAGCUUGUUGGUGAGGUAAUGGCCCACCAAGGCGAUAACAGGUACGGGCUCUGAGAGGAGAAGCCCGGAGAUGGGUACUGAGACACGGACCCAGGCCCUAUGGGGCGCAGCAGGCGAGAAAACUUUGCAAUGUGCGAAAGCACGACAAGGUUAAUCCGAGUGAUUUCUGCUAAAGAAAUCUUUUGCCAGUCGUAAAACCGCUGGCGAAUAAGGGGUGGGCAAGUUCUGGUGUCAGCCGCCGCGGUAAAACCAGCACCUCAAGUGGUCAGGAUGAUUAUUGGGCCUAAAGCAUCCGUAGCCGGCUUUGUAAGUUUUCGGUUAAAUCCAUGUGCUCAACGCAUGGGCUGCCGAAAAUACUGCAUAGCUAGGGAGUGGGAGAGGUAGACGGUACUCAGUAGGUAGGGGUAAAAUCCUUUGAUCUAUUGAUGACCACCUGUGGCGAAGGCGGUCUACCAGAACACGUUCGACGGUGAGGGAUGAAAGCUGGGGGAGCAAACCGGAUUAGAUACCCGGGUAGUCCCAGCUGUAAACGAUGCAGACUCGAUGAUGCAUUGGCAUAAUAGCCAUUGCAGUGUCGCAGGGAAGCCGUUAAGUCUGCCGCCUGGGAAGUACGUACGCAAGUAUGAAACUUAAAGGAAUUGGCGGGGGAGCACCACAAGGGGUGAAGCCUGCGGUUCAAUUGGAGUCAACGCCGGG
RNAcentral lists this ribosomal RNA (916 nucleotides) under uncultured archaeon. RNAcentral describes it as "SSU rRNA". It matches the Rfam family "Archaeal small subunit ribosomal RNA", at positions 1 to 922 of the family's 1478-position model. The record is from RNAcentral.